Alexandromys fortis (reed vole) is the source of this 1342-nucleotide long non-coding RNA. RefSeq lists it as uncharacterized. Lineage: Eukaryota; Metazoa; Chordata; Mammalia; Rodentia; Cricetidae. The record is from RefSeq and is a predicted model, not a curated record. The transcript is spliced from 3 exons.
AUGGGUCCGAGCAUCUAAAUGCAGGAAGAGUAUCUUCAAAAGAGAGCGGGAGCCUCCCACUUGCUCACUGUUGGUCAUCAAUAACUUUGUACUGAUCGGAUAUAAUAUGCAAAAGGAAAGUUUCCUAUGUGUUUGUGAAAAGCAAGUGUGUUUAAGUUUCUUUCAGAACUUUCCUCCCUUCUGGUUGACCUGAAUCUGCGUGAGAGCCAGAAUAGAGAACUCUCUUGAAAACUUAUGAACAAAACUACAAAUGAGCUUUUCUGAAGUACAACAUCAGAAUACCUCAUGCCUGCAAAAUUAUAGUGAAAAGUCACGGGGAAAUUCCACACUUCUUCAGCCAGAAUGCAUAUUCCAAAGUAACAGAAGGCAUUUGUGAAGACACUUCAUCCCAAGGAUGCAAAGAUUUCAAGAAGAAAGUCUGAGAACUAAUUUGGUUACAAUAGUUGAUAAUUUGUGCUACCUCUGUGUCAAAUGUCAAAAAUCCAGCUGCUUUUCCCUUCUAGAUUUUAAAACAAAAGUUCAAAAUGGCAUCUGUUUCAUAAGCCCAAAAUUACAAUGAAGGUACAAAGAAGAAAUAUGUUAAUCUGCCACACUUAUCAGCCCAGUGACUAACAUUGCUACCUCCUGUGAGUUCCUUUGCCUGUUUAGAUUUUAUGCGAAGUAUUCUAAUCAUGAAGCCAUCCAGUCUUAAACUAAGGCAGCCUAAAACCCUCAGUGUGCUAUGUCUACCAAAGGCCAGAAGAUUAGGAUAUCUGUUUCAUCCUAAGCAAACAGCAUUUCAGGCACAAAAUAAUCAACCGGACCACCUCACUUCUCAAAUUAAGAGGAAGGAAGUCAUUCUGUUUGUGUUUACUCUCUACCUGCUUCUUUUAUAUCAGAAACUCUGGAAGGUAUUUUACCCAUUUAAUUAUCUCUUAUUAGAAGAACGCAAAAGAGAAACAAGGACUCCCCCACACUCCUUCACCACCUUCUCUUGUUCAUUUCCCAAUAAUGCUGUGACCAUCUUGUUAAGAUUAAAAAUAAAUGAAAGGAACACAGCUCUUUGGUGAUUAUGGAGUCUCCAAUGUGCCCAAAAUGUUUAUUCUCUAAGUUAUUUCAGAUGAGGGGGAGGAGUUUUUCCUGUAGGUCUAUUGAAUCAGAAUCACAUUAACAUCGAACACCUUAGCAACUAAGAGAAACUUUGCAGAUAAAAGAAUCUCUAAGUGUGUGAUUUCAAAGGAGGAAAUAAUUUGUCUUUGGAAUGAUUAAAAGAGCCACAAGGAAGCUGGCCCCGCAUUAGAUAACACCAUGAAAAUAACUGCAUAACAGUAUGUGUCUUUGAGAAGAGUUCAAUAUAUUCCUA